GACGAACGCUGGCGGCGUGCUUAACACAUGCAAGUCGAACGGAAAGGUCCUGCUUUGGUGGGGUGCUCGAGUGGCGAACGGGUGAGUAACACGUGAGUAACCUGCCCUUGACGUUGGGAUAACUUCAGGAAACUGGGGCUAAUACCGGAUAGGAGCUCCUGCUGCAUGGUGGGGGUUGGAAAGUUUCGGCGGUUGGGGAUGGACUCGCGGCUUAUCAGCUUGUUGGUGGGGUAGUGGCUUACCAAGGCUUUGACGGGUAGCAGGGCUGAGAGGGUGACCGGACAAGUUGGGUCUGAGAUACGGCACAGACUCCUACGGGACGCAGCAGUGGGGAAUAUUGCACAAUGGGCGGAAGCCUGAUGUAGCAACGCCGCGUGGGGGAUGACGGCCUUCGGGUAGUAAACCGCUUUCGCUUGUGACGAAGCGUGAGUGACGGUAAUGGGUAAAGAAGCACCGGCUAACUACGUG
RNAcentral lists this ribosomal RNA (468 nucleotides) under uncultured bacterium. Its description in RNAcentral is "partial 16S ribosomal RNA". It matches the Rfam family "Bacterial small subunit ribosomal RNA", at positions 28 to 507 of the family's 1533-position model. The record is from RNAcentral.